RNAcentral lists this ribosomal RNA (500 nucleotides) under uncultured bacterium. Its description in RNAcentral is "partial 16S ribosomal RNA". It matches the Rfam family "Bacterial small subunit ribosomal RNA", at positions 30 to 523 of the family's 1533-position model. The record is from RNAcentral.
AUUGAACACUGGCGGCAUGCCUUACACAUGCAAGUCGAACGGCAGCACGGGAGCAAUCCUGGUGGCGAGUGGCGAACGGGUGAGUAAUAUAUCGGAACGUGCCCAGUCGUGGGGGAUAACGCAGCGAAAGCUGUGCUAAUACCGCAUACGAUCUACGGAUGAAAGCGGGGGAUCGCAAGACCUCGCGCGAUUGCAGCGGCCGAUAUCAGAUUAGCUAGUUGGUGAGGUAAAGGCUCACCAAGGCGACGAUCUGUAGCUGGUCUGAGAGGACGACCAGCCACACUGGAACUGAGACACGGUCCAGACUCCUACGGGAGGCAGCAGUGGGGAAUUUUGGACAAUGGGCGAAAGCCUGAUCCAGCGAUGCCGCGUGCAGGAUGAAGGCCUUCGGGUUGUAAACUGCUUUUGUACGGAACGAAACGGUGAGCUCUAAUACAGUUUGCUAAUGACGGUACCGUAAGAAUAAGCACCGGCUAACUACGUGCCAGCCGCCGCGGUAA